GUAGGGAAUAUUGGACAAUGGGCGAAAGUCUGAACCAGCCAUGCCGCGUGAAGGAUGAAGGCCCUCUGGGUUGUAAACUUCUUUUAUCUGGGACGAAAAAAGGGUAUUCUUACUCACUUGACGGUACCAGAGGAAUAAGCACCGGCUAACUCCGUGCCAGCAGCCGCGGUAAUACGGAGGGUGCAAGCGUUAUCCGGAUUCACUGGGUUUAAAGGGUGCGUAGGUGGGUAUUUAAGUCAGUGGUGAAAUCUCCGAGCUUAACUCGGAAACUGCCAUUGAUACUAUUUACCUUGAAUGCCCUGGAGGUAAGCGGAAUAUGUCAUGUAGCGGUGAAAUGCUUAGAUAUGACAUAGAACACCAAUUGCGAAGGCAGCUUACUACGGGGUGAUUGACACUGAGGCACGAAAGCGUGGGGAGCAAACAGGAUUAGAAACCCUAGUAGUCC
This 445-nucleotide ribosomal RNA is filed under the name uncultured bacterium. RNAcentral describes it as "partial 16S ribosomal RNA". It matches the Rfam family "Bacterial small subunit ribosomal RNA", at positions 354 to 796 of the family's 1533-position model. The record is from RNAcentral.